UUUCAUGUCGUAAUCUAACUACAGUAGGCAUCUUAUGUUCUUAUUACCCUGAUUGAAUGUGUGAUGUGAACCAACUUGAAGAAAUCAGCAUUGAAUUCCAUUAGCAUUUGCUGCCAAGUAGGAAGAAAGUGUAAACUGCAAUGUUAUAGUUGGCAGUCUAAAAUUUGAAUUUCUGGAUUUUUCAGGAUGUUAACUGUAUUAGCUGUUCUGUUUUUCUCCCACUGUUAUUUAAUUGAAACCCUAGACUAAGAAGCAUCAUAUUGUAACUGAUCACAAUGUGUGUUUUAUAGUACACUGACUUAGUUUUCUAAAUGUAAGUGAAUUAAUCAGUUGAAUUUUUCAUUCAUUUUGGAUAGGCUUAACAAAUAGAGCAUUCUGUAUGAAUGGAGAUUAGAGUUAAUCUUCCCAAUCACAUAAUUUGUUUUGUGUGAAAAAGGAAUGAACUGUUUCACACUGAUGGAAAGAUGGAAAUGAUUUUUAGAUGUUUGUGUUUUAGGAUUUUGUCCAUUUUCUUUUAAAUUAUACACAUGUACUUGGGUGGAUGAUUUUUUUUUAAUGAUUUUGCCAUUGUUAAAAGGGUAUUUAAUGAUUGACUACCUUUUAGCCUACAUGUACUGACAUAAAAAGACAUGAGAGGUAUAUUAAGUGUAAAAUCAAAUGGCAAAACACUAUGUGUAGAAUGAGCCAAGUGAAGGUGUGUCUAUUUU
RNAcentral lists this long non-coding RNA (707 nucleotides) under Bos taurus (domestic cattle). RNAcentral's name for it is "long non-coding RNA NONBTAT026204". Lineage: Eukaryota; Metazoa; Chordata; Mammalia; Artiodactyla; Bovidae. The record is from RNAcentral.